This 136-nucleotide small nucleolar RNA is filed under the name Stegastes partitus (bicolor damselfish). Its description in RNAcentral is "Small nucleolar RNA SNORA69 (ENSSPAG00000010071.1)". Lineage: Eukaryota; Metazoa; Chordata; Actinopteri; Pomacentridae. The record is from RNAcentral.
AAAGCAGGUCUGCAAUUGCAGCUCUCCUUUGCCAGUAGAGUGCUGUCAUUAACCCUGCUGAGAGCAUGUUUCUGCUGUGGAGCUCGUUCUCCUGCUCACCAUGCUGGUGAUGAGGAAGCUCUGUAGCUGAACACUG